GCCACCUACGCUUGAAUACCUGUUCCCGUACGAUCACUGAAGUUAAGCAACGUCGAGCAGGGUCAGUACUUAGAUGGGUGACCGCUUCGGAAAACCAGGUGCUGUAA
Acanthosepion pharaonis is the source of this 107-nucleotide non-coding RNA. The record is from the annotation of a GenBank genome assembly. NCBI's taxonomy places the organism in Eukaryota, Metazoa, Mollusca, Cephalopoda, Sepiida, Sepiidae.